This 143-nucleotide small RNA is filed under the name Bacillus infantis. RNAcentral describes it as "c-di-AMP sequence". It matches the Rfam family "c-di-AMP riboswitch aptamer (ydaO/yuaA leader)". Rfam says of the family: This family represents a conserved RNA structure found upstream of the ydaO and yuaA genes in Bacillus subtilis and related genes in other bacteria. The ydaO/yuaA element is thought to act as a genetic "off" switch for the ydaO and yuaA genes in its native state. It is believed that the element may be triggered during osmotic shock leading to activation of ydaO, a predicted amino acid transporter gene, and members of the yuaA-yubG operon which code for KtrA and KtrB K+ transporters. RNAcentral also lists the same sequence under 1 other name. Lineage: Bacteria; Bacillati; Bacillota; Bacilli; Caryophanales; Bacillaceae. The record is from RNAcentral.
CUCAAUAUUCGGCCUAGUCUCGGAAACGAGAACGGAGGAACCAAUCAACAGGGGUUAAUUCUGCUAUUGCAGAAGGGAUGAGAUUCAAACUCUUUCGCCAUCCUACCCGUCAGCUAACUUCGUCGGCUAAAGCGAAGGAGGUC